Molecule: long non-coding RNA, 593 nt
Filed under: Elaeis guineensis (African oil palm)
Lineage: Eukaryota; Viridiplantae; Streptophyta; Magnoliopsida; Arecales; Arecaceae
Description: long non-coding RNA (EGUI_LNC002694)
Source: RNAcentral
CGAAAAGGAUUGAUUUUGGUAGGAGAGAAGGGGCCUUCAGAUCCCAUCACGAGGCAGGGUGGGAUUGGGAUGAAUCGGGAGAAAGAAGAAGGUGGCGCGGCUCGAGCAGCGGAUAUUAUUCUUUGGGAUUCAGAUUGAAAACUACAUGGAAACCAUCAUGGUGGGAUUCUUCUUCAGCGAUUAAACGCUUGGAGUUUAGUUUUCGUCUCCACACGGCCGAUCCGCCGCUUCCAGAGCCAACACCGUUCCCUUCUCUUUCCCCCAUGACCUCCCCCCAAAACCCUAACAAAAAAAAAAAAGAGAAAUUCUUUGUGCACCGCCUGCGGUGGAGCAAAUAUGACGUGCCUCUUAGCCGUCGAGAGAAGAGGCCUUCAGAUCCCAUCACGAGGGGGUAAGAAGAAGUAGGCGCCGCUCGAGCAGCGGAUCUGGGCGGAUCUUAUUCUCUGGGAUUCAGAUUGAAAACUACAUGGAAACCAUCAUAGUGGGAUUCUUCUUCAGCGAUUAAACGCUUGGAGUUUAGUUUUCGUCUCCACACGGCCGAUCCGCCACUCCGCCGCUUCCAGAGCCGACACCGUUGCCUUCUCUUCCCCCCC